ACCCAAUCCCGAUUCGGGGAGGUAGUGACAAUAAAUAACAAUACAGGGCCAACGGUCUUGUUAUUGGAAUGAGAACAAUUUAAAUAACUUAACGAGGAUCAAUUAGAGGGCAAGUCUGGUGCCAGCAGCCGCGGUAAUUCCAGCUCUAAUAGCGUAUAUUAAAGUUGUUGCAGUUAAAAAGCUCGUAGUCGGAUGUCGGGCUCGGGCAAGCUGUCGGCCUUUGGUCGGACGGCAGGCUCGGGUCUUUCUGCCUGAGGAACCCGGUUGCUUUAACGAGCUGCCGGUGGACGCAGGUCGUUUACUUUGAAAAAAUUAGAGUGUUCAAAGCAGGCUAGCGCCUGAAUACAUUAGCAUGGAAUAAUGGAAUAGGACUUUGGUGCUAUUUUGUUGGUUUAUGGGACCAAAGUAAUGAUUAACAGGGACAGUUGGGGCCGUUUAUAUUUCGUUGUCAGAGGUGAAAUUCUUGGAUUUACGAAAGAUAAACUUCUGCGAAAGCAUUCGGCAAGGAUGUUUUCAUUGAUCAAGAACGAAAGUUAGGGGAUCGAAGACGAUCAGAUACCGUCGUAGUCUUAACCAUAAACUAUGCCGACUAGGGAUCAGUGGAUGUCAAUUUGCGACUCCAUUGGCACCUUGUGAGAAAUCAAAGUUUUUGGGUUCCGGGGGGAGUAUGGUCGCAAGGCUGAAACUUAAAGGAAUUGACGGAAGGGCACCACCAGGAGUGGAGCCUGCGGCUUAAUUUGACUCAACACGGGGAAACUUACCAGGUCCAGACAUAGUAAGGAUUGACAGAUUGAAAGCUCUUUCUUGAUU
Molecule: ribosomal RNA, 810 nt
Filed under: uncultured marine Geminigeraceae
Lineage: Eukaryota; Cryptophyceae; Pyrenomonadales; Geminigeraceae
Description: SSU rRNA
Rfam family: Eukaryotic small subunit ribosomal RNA
Source: RNAcentral